This 443-nucleotide ribosomal RNA is filed under the name uncultured bacterium. Its description in RNAcentral is "partial 16S ribosomal RNA". It matches the Rfam family "Bacterial small subunit ribosomal RNA", at positions 338 to 795 of the family's 1533-position model. The record is from RNAcentral.
CCUACGGGAGGCAGCAGUGGGGAAUAUUGGGCAAUGGAGGCAACUCUGACCCAGCAACGCCGCGUGAAUGAUGAAGGUCUUCGGAUUGUAAAGUUCUGUGAUGGGGGAUGAACACAAUGACGGUACCCCAAUAGCAAGCCACGGCUAACUACGUGCCAGCAGCCGCGGUAAUACGUAGGUGGCAAGCGUUAUCCGGAAUGACUGGGCGUAAAGGGUGCGUAGGUGGUUUGGUAAGUUAUAUGUGUAAGUCCUGGGCUUAACCUCGGCGGUACAUCGAAAACUAUUAGACUAGAGUGCAGGAGAGGUAAGUGGAAUUCCUAGUGUAGCGGUGGAAUGCGUAGAGAUUAGGAGGAACAUCAGGGGCGAAGGCGACUUACUGGACUGUAACUGACACUGAGGCACGAAAGCGUGGGGAGCGAACAGGAUUAGAUACCCCUGUAGUC